AGAGUUUGAUCAUGGCUCAGAUUGAACGCUGGCGGCAUGCCUUACACAUGCAAGUCGAACGGUAACAGGUUAAGCUGACGAGUGGCGAACGGGUGAGUAAUGUAUCGGAACGUGCCCAGUCGUGGGGGAUAACUACUCGAAAGAGUGGCUAAUACCGCAUACGACCUGAGGGUGAAAGCGGGGGACCGUAAGGCCUCGCGCGAUUGGAGCGGCCGAUAUCAGAUUAGCUAGUUGGUGGGGUAAAAGCCCACCAAGGCGACGAUCUGUAGCUGGUCUGAGAGGACGACCAGCCACACUGGGACUGAGACACGGCCCAGACUCCUACGGGAGGCAGCAGUGGGGAAUUUUGGACAAUGGACGCAAGUCUGAUCCAGCCAUGCCGCGUGCGGGAAGAAGGCCUUCGGGUUGUAAACCGCUUUUGUCAGGGAAGAAACGAGUUUCUCUAAUACAGAGACUUAAUGACGGUACCUGAAGAAUAAGCACCGGCUAACUACGUGCCAGCAGCCGCGGUAAUACGUAGGGUGCAAGCGUUAAUCGGAAUUACUGGGCGUAAAGCGUGCGCAGGCGGUUAUGCAAGACAGAGGUGAAAUCCCCGGGCUCAACCUGGGAACUGCCUUUGUGACUGCAUAGCUAGAGUACGGCAGAGGGGGAUGGAAUUCCGCGUGUAGCAGUGAAAUGCGUAGAUAUGCGGAGGAACACCGAUGGCGAAGGCAAUCCCCUGGGCCUGUACUGACGCUCAUGCACGAAAGCGCGGGGAGCAAACAGGAUUAGAUACCCUGGUAGUCCACGCCCUAAACGAUGUCAACUGGUUGUUGGGAGGGUUUCUUCUCAGUAACGUAGCUAACGCGUGAAGUUGACCGCCUGGGG
Molecule: ribosomal RNA, 867 nt
Filed under: uncultured Roseateles sp.
Lineage: Bacteria; Pseudomonadati; Pseudomonadota; Betaproteobacteria; Burkholderiales; Sphaerotilaceae
Description: bacterial SSU rRNA
Rfam family: Bacterial small subunit ribosomal RNA
Source: RNAcentral